Molecule: ribosomal RNA, 406 nt
Filed under: uncultured microorganism
Description: bacterial SSU rRNA
Rfam family: Archaeal small subunit ribosomal RNA
Source: RNAcentral
GUGCAGCAGGCGAGAAAACUCCGCAAUACACGAAAGUGUGACGGGGCCAUCCCGAGUGCCGUCCGCUGAGGACGGCUUUUCCCCAGUGUACACAGCUGGGGGAAUAAGGAGAGGGCAAGCCUGGUGUCAGCCGCCGCGGUAAUACCAGCUCUCCGAGUGGUGGGGACGCUUAUUGGGCCUAAAGCAUCCGUAGCCGGCUGGGCAAGUUCUCCGUUAAAUCCAACGAUUCAAUCGUUGGGCUGCGGGGGAUACUGUCCAGCUUGGGGGUGGGAGAGGCCGACGGUAUUCCCGGGGUAGGGGUGAGAUCCUAUAAUCCCGGGAGGACCACCAGUGGCGAAGGCUGUCGGCUAGAACGCGCCCGACGGUGAGGGGAUGAAAGCGUGGGGGGAGCGAACCGGAUUAGAUA